GACGAACGCUGGCGGCGUGCUUAACACAUGCAAGUCGAACGAUGAACCUCGAAAUGAUUUCUUCGGAAAGAUAUUUGAGAGGAUUAGUGGCGAACGGGUGAGUAACGCGUGAGCAACCUGCCUUAGACAAGGGGAUAGCCUCGGGAAACCGUGAUUAAUACCCUAUGAGACUCCACUUACGAGUGUAAGAGAAGUUAAAGCUAUUGCGGUCUAAGAUGGGCUCGCGUCUGAUUAGCUAGUUGGUGAGAUAAAAGCCCACCAAGGCGACGAUCAGUAACCGGCUUGAGAGAGUGAACGGUCACAUUGGAACUGAGACACGGUCCAAACUCCUACGGGAGGCAGCAGUGGGGAAUAUUGCACAAUGGGGGCAACCCUGAUGCAGCGACGCCGCGUGAGCGAUGAAGGAAUUCGUUUCGUAAAGCUCUGUCCUUGGAGAAGAUAAUGACGGUAACCAAGGAGGAAGCACCGGCUAAAUACGUG
RNAcentral lists this ribosomal RNA (480 nucleotides) under uncultured bacterium. RNAcentral describes it as "partial 16S ribosomal RNA". It matches the Rfam family "Bacterial small subunit ribosomal RNA", at positions 28 to 507 of the family's 1533-position model. The record is from RNAcentral.